GACGAACGCUGGCGGCGUGCUUAACACAUGCAAGUGGAGCGACGAACCAGGGCUUGCCCUGGGGCAGAGCCGCGAACGGGUGAGUAACACGUGGGUUACCUACCCCGAUGACCGGGACAACCCGAGGAAACUCGGGCUAAUACCGGAUGUGGUCUUCGGACGAAAGGAAGCUUCGGCCUCCGCAUCGGGAUGGGCCCGCGGCGCAUUAGCUUGUUGGUGGGGUAACGGCCUACCAAGGCGACGACGGGUAGCCGGCCUGAGAGGGCGACCGGCCACACUGGGACUGAGACACGGCCCAGACUCCUACGGGAGGCAGCAGUGGGGAAUCUUGCGCAAUGGGCGAAAGCCUGACGCAGCGACGCCGCGUGAGGGAUGACGGCCU
Molecule: ribosomal RNA, 382 nt
Filed under: uncultured bacterium
Lineage: Bacteria
Description: bacterial SSU rRNA
Rfam family: Bacterial small subunit ribosomal RNA
Source: RNAcentral